This 497-nucleotide ribosomal RNA is filed under the name uncultured bacterium. RNAcentral's name for it is "partial 16S ribosomal RNA". It matches the Rfam family "Bacterial small subunit ribosomal RNA", at positions 28 to 507 of the family's 1533-position model. The record is from RNAcentral.
GACGAACGCUGGCGGCGUGCCUAAUACAUGCAAGUUGAGCGGUCAAGGUUGGUACUUGUCCCGACUGGCUGCGCGGCGCACGGGUGAGUAACGCGUGGGGAAUCAACCUGUGAGCAGGGGACAACAUUUGGAAACGAAUGCUAAUACCACAUAAGAGCUUUGAACAAAAAAUUUACGUUUUAAAUAUGCAAUUGCAUCACUGAAAGAUGAUCCCGCGUUGUAUUAGCUGGUGGGGGAGGUAAAGGCUCACCAAGGCGAUGAUACAUAGCCGACCUGAGAGGGGGAUCGGCCACAUUGGGACUGAGACACGGCCCAAACGACUACGGGAUGCAGCAGUAGGGAAUCUUCGGCAAUGGACGAAAGUCUGACCGAGCAACGCCGCGUGAGUGAAGAAGGUUGUCGGAUCGUAAAACUCUGUUGGUAGAGAAGAACGUUGGUGAGAGUGGAAAGCUCAUAAAGUGACGGUAACUACCCAGAAAGGGACGGCUAACUACGUG